AGUAAAGUCAGCUAACUAAGCUCUUGGGCCCAUACCCCAAAAAUGUAGGUUAAACUCCUUCCUUUACUA
Molecule: transfer RNA, 69 nt
Filed under: Mastacembelus favus (tire track eel)
Lineage: Eukaryota; Metazoa; Chordata; Actinopteri; Synbranchiformes; Mastacembelidae
Also listed under: 2 other names
Description: tRNA-Met
Rfam family: tRNA
About the family: Transfer RNA (tRNA) molecules are approximately 80 nucleotides in length.
Source: RNAcentral